UAGCUAGUUGGUGAGGUAAAGGCUUACCAAGGCGACGAUCUGUAGCGGGUCUGAGAGGAUGAUCCGCCACACUGGAACUGAGACACGGUCCAGACUCCUACGGGAGGCAGCAGUGGGGAAUUUUGGACAAUGGGGGCAACCCUGAUCCAGCCAUGCCGCGUGAGUGAAGAAGGCCUUCGGGUUGUAAAGCUCUUUCGGCCGGGAAGAAAUCGCAUGGGCCAAUACCCUGUGUGGAUGACGGUACCGGAAUAAGAAGCACCGGCUAACUACGUGCCAGCAGCCGCGGUAAUACGUAGGGUGCGAGCGUUAAUCGGAAUUACUGGGCGUAAAGCGUGCGCAGGCGGUUUUGUAAGACAGGCGUGAAAUCCCCGGGCUUAACCUGGGAACUGCGUUUGUGACUGCAAGGCUAGAGUACGGCAGAGGGGGGUGGAAUUCCACGUGUAGCAGUGAAAUGCGUAGAGAUGUGGAGGAACACCAAUGGCGAAGGCAGCCCCCUGGGUCGAUACUGACGCUCAUGCACGAAAGCGUGGGUAGCAAACAGGAUUAGAUACCCUGGUAGUCCACGCCCUAAACUAUGUCAACUAGGUGUUGGGUGGGUAAAACCAUUUAGUACCGUAGCUAACGCGUGAAGUUGACCGCCUGGGGAGUACGGCCGCAAGGUUAAAACUCAAAGGAAUUGACGGGGACCCGCACAAGCGGUGGAUGAUGUGGAUUAAUUCGAUGCAACGCGAAAAACCUUACCUACCCUUGACAUGCCAGGAACUUGCCAGAGAUGGCUUGGUGCCCGAAAGGGAGCCUGGACACAGGUGCUGCAUGGCUGUCGUCAGCUCGUGUCGUGAGAUGUUGGGUUAAGUCCCGCAACGAGCGCAACCCUUGUCGUUAAUUGCCAUCAUUUAGUUGGGCACUUUAACGAGACUGCCGGUGACAAACCGGAGGAAGGUGGGGAUGACGUCAAGUCCUCAUGGCCCUUAUGGGUAGGGCUUCACACGUCAUACAAUGGUCGGUACAAAGGGUUGCCAAGCCGCGAGGCGGAGCCAAUCCCAGAAAGCCGAUCGUAGUCCGGAUUGCAGGCUGCAACUCGCCUGCAUGAAGUCGGAAUCGCUAGUAAUCGUGGAUCAGCAUGUCACGGUGAAUACGUUCCCGGGUCUUGUACACACCGCCCGUCACACCAUGGGAGCGGGUUCCGCCAGAAGUAGGUAGCCUAACCGCAAGGGGGGCGCUUACCACGGUGGGGUUCGUGACUGGGGUGAAGUCGAAACAAGGUAGCCGUAGGGGAACCUGCGGCUG
Molecule: ribosomal RNA, 1287 nt
Filed under: metagenome
Description: bacterial SSU rRNA
Rfam family: Bacterial small subunit ribosomal RNA
Source: RNAcentral